GCCUGCAUGGCGCAGUGGCAACGCGUCGCACUUGUAUCAUCAUGCAAAUGCGAAGAUCACUGGUUCAAUUCCAGUUGUAGGCA
Molecule: non-coding RNA, 83 nt
Organism: Lentithecium fluviatile CBS 122367
Lineage: Eukaryota; Fungi; Ascomycota; Dothideomycetes; Pleosporales; Lentitheciaceae
Source: the annotation of a GenBank genome assembly